RNAcentral lists this ribosomal RNA (253 nucleotides) under uncultured prokaryote. RNAcentral describes it as "partial 16S ribosomal RNA". It matches the Rfam family "Bacterial small subunit ribosomal RNA", at positions 524 to 775 of the family's 1533-position model. The record is from RNAcentral.
UACGGGGGGAGCAAGCGUUGUUCGGAUUUACUGGGCGUAAAGGGCGCGUAGGCGGCCACCGCAAGUCGACUGUGAAAUCUCCGGGCUUAACCCGGAAAGGUCAGCCGAUACUGCGGGGCUAGAGUGCGGAAGGGGCAACUGGAAUUCUCGGUGUAGCGGUGAAAUGCGUAGAUAUCGAGAGGAACACCUGCGGCGAAGGCGGGUUGCUGGGCUGACACUGACGCUGAGGCGCGAAAGCUAGGGGAGCGAACGG